This 645-nucleotide long non-coding RNA is filed under the name Brassica napus (rape). Its description in RNAcentral is "long non-coding RNA (BNAP_LNC025632)". The record is from RNAcentral. Lineage: Eukaryota; Viridiplantae; Streptophyta; Magnoliopsida; Brassicales; Brassicaceae.
AAAUAACAAAAAACAAAAAACAAUUAUUUUGCAACUAUUUUUGGAAGACAGUAUAAUGAAUAGCGGAUGGAGAGGAAUUAUAGCGAGUUGUCUCUUUUGGUUUUAACCACUGUUUCCUUUCUAAGAGUCGAGUCGGCAGUCAUCCCAACCUCCCGGGAAGUAAGUGUUCUGUUAUUAUACCUCCUACGGGUGGAUUUCUUAACUACUGUUGGAAUCGUGGCCAAAAAGAUUGUCAAAUCAAGCCCCACCCGGUGACCAUUGGAGAUAAUAAUCAUUGCUGGUGCACGAAGUAGGAUAUGGUAAAUAAAUAUAUUGACUAUGACAUACAUUGAUCAUGUUAGCUUGUACAGUAGUAACAAAUUCCACAAGGUGACUGCGGUUUGAGCGGUGCGUGACAAGCGGUUCAACUGCGGUGCGGUUCCAACAGUUAUAAAAAUGUAUAAAUAUAUAGUAUAUGUAUAGAUUUUUGUUACUAUUAACUGCGGGACGGGACGGAACAAUGGUCACCAUUCGAAGUACUAUUAUUAUAUAUAUCUCAAUUAAUUUGUUAAAACUAAUGUUUUACAUUUUUAAUAUAUUUCAUACAAUGAAAAAUGUUCUUAAUUUAUAUUAUAUGCAAUUCCAAAAUAUAUAUUUUGAGUAUAA